CUACGUGCCAGCAGCCGCGGUAAUACGGAAGGUCCAGGCGUUAUCUGGAUUUAUUGGGUUUAAAGGGAGCGUAGGCUGGAGAUUAAGUGUGUUGUGAAAUGUAGACGCUCAACGUCUGAAUUGCAGCGCAUACUGGUUUCCUUGAGUACGCACAACGUUGGCGGAAUUCGUCGUGUAGCGGUGAAAUGCUUAGAUAUGACGAAGAACUCCGAUCGCGAAGGCAGCUGACGGGAGCGCAACUGACGCUUAAGCUCGAAGGUGCGGGUAUCAAACAGGAUUAGAUACCCUGGUAGUCCGCACAGUAAACGAUGGAUGCCCGCUGUUGGUACCUGGUAUCAGCGGCUAAGCGAAAGCAUUAAGCAUCCCACCUGGGGAGUACGCCGGCAACUGGUGAAACUCAAAGGAAUUGACGGGGGCCCGCACAAGCGGAGGAACAUGUGGUUUAAUUCGAUGAUACGCGAGGAACCUUACCCGGGCUUGAA
RNAcentral lists this ribosomal RNA (482 nucleotides) under uncultured bacterium. Its description in RNAcentral is "bacterial SSU rRNA". It matches the Rfam family "Bacterial small subunit ribosomal RNA", at positions 501 to 985 of the family's 1533-position model. The record is from RNAcentral.